Molecule: ribosomal RNA, 611 nt
Filed under: uncultured bacterium
Lineage: Bacteria
Description: bacterial SSU rRNA
Rfam family: Bacterial small subunit ribosomal RNA
Source: RNAcentral
CCUACGGGAGGUAGCAGUAAGGAAUAUUGGUCAAUGGGGGCAACCCUGAACCAGCCAUGCCGCGUGCAGGAAGACGGCCCUACGGGUUGUAAACUGCUUUUAUACGGGAAUAAACCUCUCUUCGUGAAGAGAGCUGAAUGUACUGUAAGAAUAAGGAUCGGCUAACUCCGUGCCAGCAGCCGCGGUAAUACGGAGGAUCCAAGCGUUAUCCGGAUUUAUUGGGUUUAAAGGGUGCGUAGGCGGCCUAUUAAGUCAGGGGUGAAAGACGGUGGCUCAACCAUCGCAGUGCCCUUGAUACUGAUGGGCUUGAUUACACUUGAGGUAGGCGGAAUGUGACAAGUAGCGGUGAAAUGCAUAGAUAUGUCACAGAACACCAAUUGCGAAGGCAGCUUACUAAGGUGUUAAUGACGCUGAGGCACGAAAGCGUGGGGAUCAAACAGGAUUAGAUACCCUGGUAGUCCACGCCCUAAACGAUGAAUACUCGAUGUUAGCGAUAUACAGUUAGCGUCAAAGCGAAAAGCGUCAAGUAUUCCACCUGGGGAGUACGCCCGCAAGGGUGAAACUCAAAGANAGUGCGNGNGAGAGCGACGACGACGACGAGGAGGAGGAGG